This 265-nucleotide long non-coding RNA is filed under the name Mytilus galloprovincialis (Mediterranean mussel). Lineage: Eukaryota; Metazoa; Mollusca; Bivalvia; Mytilida; Mytilidae. The record is from RNAcentral.
UCCGGCGUCGUUAACUUUUACAAAAAUCUUCUCCUCUGAAACUACUGGGCCAAAUUACACCAAACUUGGCCGAAAUCAUCAUUGGGGUAUCUAGUUUAAAAAAUGUGUCCGGUGACCCGGCCAACCAUCCAAGAUGGCCGCCAUGGCUAAAAAUAGAACAUAGGGGUAAAAUGCAGUUUUUGGCUUAUAACUCAAAAACCAAAGCAUUUAGAGCAAAUCUGACAAGGGGUAAACUUGUGUAACAGGUCAAGAUCUAUCUGCCCUG